Molecule: ribosomal RNA, 468 nt
Filed under: uncultured bacterium
Lineage: Bacteria
Description: partial 16S ribosomal RNA
Rfam family: Bacterial small subunit ribosomal RNA
Source: RNAcentral
GACGAACGCUGGCGGCGUGCUUAACACAUGCAAGUCGAACGGAAAGGCCCUGCUUUUGUGGGGUGCUCGAGUGGCGAACGGGUGAGUAACACGUGAGUAACAUGCCCUUGACUUUGGGAUAACUUCAGGAAACUGGGGCUAAUACCGGAGAGGAGCUCCUGCUGCAUGGGGGGGGUUGGAAAGUUUCGGCGGUUGGGGAUGGACUCGCGGCUUAUCAGCUUGUUGGUGGGGUAGUGGCUUACCAAGGCUUUGACGGGUAGCCGGCCUGAGAGGGUGACCGGCCACAUUGGGACUGAGAUACGGCCGCGACUCCUACGGGAGGGAGCAGUGCGGAAUAUUGCACAAUGGGCGGCAGCCUGAUGCAGCAACGCCGCGUGCGGGAUGACGGCCUUCGGGUUGUAAACCGAUUUCGCCUGUGACGAAGCGUGAGUGACGGUAAUGGGUACAGAAGCACCGGCUAACUACGUG